RNA transcript from Strigops habroptila (Kakapo), 2549 nucleotides. It is a transcript of the gene named microseminoprotein, prostate associated, with no coding region annotated. Lineage: Eukaryota; Metazoa; Chordata; Aves; Psittaciformes; Psittacidae. The transcript is spliced from 4 exons. The record is from RefSeq and is a predicted model, not a curated record.
CCAAAGGUGGCGAAUCCAAAGCGGAUAAAAGGAAGCAAUUCUUUUUCACUUUUUCACUCCGUGCUUAAUUAGGCUGCCACAGGAAAACACUCAGGCCAAAAUUUAGCAGGAUUCAAGGAGGGAUUGGGCAUUUAUGGGGAUGAAAAAAAAUACCCAGCUAUAAUAGCGGGUGCCAACACAAAUUCUGGAAGGGAUAUUCAGCCUCACGCGUCAGGGUGUAAACCUAUCCCAAACUCUCAGAAAGGAGGGAGCUUAACGCAGGGAAGAUGACCCACAUAUGCCAUCACUACUGACACCACCUCCUCACCGGCUGGACCCCCUUCCUGCUGCCGGCAGCACCUCUGACAAGGGCUGUGAUUUCUCUUGGCAAUUCAGCCCUUUGCCGGUAGCUUUCCAGGGCUCUGACCUGCUCCAUCUCACCUAUCCCCUCCCUUUGCCAGCUGAUAACAGCAUUAUCACUUCAGCCCACAGGCAGUCCCUCUGGGUAAGGGUCUGUGUGGACCAUGGGUAUGUCCCUGCGUGGUGCGGCAUCUUCUCAUGGCUGCUUGCUUCCACCCAAGCCCCUCGGUUCUCUCUGUUUCUUGACCAAACGCACUUUCUCCUCCUGAUUUCAUCCCUCCUGUUCCCUGUUCCUGCUGGGGCUGGUCUCCGGCCUCCGAAAGGGGCUGCUCAGCUCCAGCAUCUUGUGGGUGCUGCACAUACACAGGCACAGCCCCACUUUCAUGGGCACUGCUCAGAUGAGCUCUGGUUCGUGCCUUGUGCAGAACCUUCCUCACUGGCACUACAUCACUGGCAAUCACUGUCCUGCCUGCUCCUGGCCUAAAAACCUGCCGUCAACCCCAACCCAUGCGUGGCCAUGAGCCUGGCAUGGCUGCAGCCCAGGAUGGGGUGAAACCACCAUGUUUUGGUACCCAGGAGCUGGGUACAAGCAUCUCCAUCCCCACCAAGGAUGGUACCAUUGCAUCCCACACUGCUUGUUGACAGGACACCGUGCUGCUCUGGUCCCUGCGCAAUGGGAUGCUCCCGAAUCCUUGGCUGCUGUUAAGGAUCAGACAUCAGUGCAACCAGAGGGGAGCCUGGAGCUAUCCUGGUCAGGGUCCAGGGUCUCUCGUGCUCACUGCGCUGCCGAGGGCAACCCCGCUGGGGUCCCUUGGAUCUCCCCUCGCUGCGGAGCCUCGCACCCACCGGGGCUUCCAACUGGAGACAUUUCUGGAGGGCAUGAAUCAGCUUUUCACAGCUUGUUAAAAAUCUUGAUCCUACCUCUUGUUUUCAUGCCUUUCAAAUCAGGAAAUGAGUUUUACAACUUUUCCAGUGGGGCACAGCUGGUGGCCAGGGUCGUAAAGCUGAACUUUAUAAAUAUCUCUUGUUGGGAUCAGGAGAAGAGCAUUAAAAAGGCGCUCAGAGAGAGUGAGAGAGAUUGAAGGGAAGAAGCAAAGGCGAUAGAGAAGCAAGGCAACCUCAGCAAAGAAGCCCAGCUCAACACUGACCAUGGCCAUGCGAGCACAGAAGAUGGGGUGUGCUUGGCUUUGCCUGCUGCUCUCCCUCCUCCUCCAGCUGCCGGGCUCCCAGGCCAAAUGCUACUUCCAAGCUAAAGCUCCCUGCGAGUACGAGGGGAAGCAGUUCUCCCUCGGGGAGUCGUGGCUGAGCACCAACUGCCUGCUCUGUACCUGCCUGCACCCCAUCGGCGUGGGCUGCUGCGAGACCACUCAGCACCCCAUUGACUUCCCUGACUGGUGUGAAGCCCACUACGACUCGCAGACAUGCCAGAUCUCGGUGGUGCAGAAGGCCAACCCCAGCCUGCCCUGCGUGAAGAGCCUGGAGCACGAGUGGGGCUCAUCCGGCACCCCUGAGCCUCUCAUCAACAAGGUGCUGGGUGCAAGGCUGAGCAGAUAGAGGCUCAGCAGCACCCUGUGCCCCCCUCCCUGGCAUCACCCUCCACACCUCCCGCAUGCUCCAGACCUGCCCCAUCCCGUCACUGCUGCCACCUUUGAGGGAAACCACUAUCCACACACUAUGGUACUGAGUUAACAUUUACACCCUAGCGCUGCCACAGUACGGCUUUGCUUCUGCCUUCAGCUCCCUGGACAGAAUCAGGGCCCCCUUCCCAAGAGUUGCUCUGCAUAGCAUGGGAAGGUAGAUCCUAUGGGAUCUCCUCCCAGGUGGGCAGGAAACCUCCAGCUACUAAAGAAAGGACUACAGGACCAAAUAGUCUUGGACUGCACUCCCGCAUCCAGCCUCAAGCUAAGCAGCUCCUGGGGCUGGAGGGGAUCCCCAGCACUGCAGGCCAGCCCCGGGCAACACUGCAACGGAGCCAGCCCAGAGCGGGCGGCAGAGCAGGGGAACCACUAGAAGAUGUCCCCAAGGGAGGCCCCAAUGCCCUGCUGCAGGGAAGCUGGGUGCCCUGCUGGGGUUCGGGGAGCUGAAGUUAAUCCACAUGUGCCAGGAUGGAGCUGGCCAUCCUGGCAGCCUGCCCCUGCUGGUGCCAUGCCUUGUGCUGCGCAGAGCCUUGUGUAGAUGUUUCUGUUCUUGCAAUAAAGGUAUUAAACAAA